RNAcentral lists this ribosomal RNA (400 nucleotides) under uncultured bacterium. Its description in RNAcentral is "bacterial SSU rRNA". It matches the Rfam family "Bacterial small subunit ribosomal RNA", at positions 355 to 747 of the family's 1533-position model. The record is from RNAcentral.
UGGGGAAUAUUGGACAAUGGGGGCAACCCUGAUCCAGCAAUACCGCGUGUGUGAAGAAGGCCUUCGGGUUGUAAAGCACUUUAGGCGGGGAAGAAGGUAAGUAGUUUAAGAGAUGACUUAUUUGACGGUACCCGCAGAAUAAGCACCGGCUAACUCUGUGCCAGCAGCCGCGGUAAUACAGAGGGUGCAAGCGUUAAUCGGAUUUACUGGGCGUAAAGGGCGCGUAGGUGGUUAUGUAAGUGAGAUGUGAAAGCCCCGGGCUCAACCUGGGAACUGCAUCUUAUACUGCAUAGCUGGAGUACAAUAGAGGGUAGUGGAAUUUCCGGUGUAGCGGUGAAAUGCGUAGAUAUCGGAAGGAACACCAGUGGCGAAGGCGGCUACCUGGAUUGAUACUGACACU